RNAcentral lists this ribosomal RNA (500 nucleotides) under uncultured bacterium. RNAcentral describes it as "partial 16S ribosomal RNA". It matches the Rfam family "Bacterial small subunit ribosomal RNA", at positions 28 to 507 of the family's 1533-position model. The record is from RNAcentral.
GACGAACGCUGGCGGCGUGCUUAACACAUGCAAGUCGAACGGGUCUGCCCUGUUUUUUGCGGGGUGGGUCAGUGGCGAACGGGUGAGUAACACGUGAGUAACCUGCCCCUCACUUCUGGAUAACCGCUUGAAAGGGUGGCUAAUACGGGGUGUUCUGGCUGUGCCGCAUGGUGUGGCUGGGAAAGAUUCACUUUUGUGGUGUUUUGGUGGGGGAUGGGCUCGCGGCCUAUCAGCUUGUUGGUGGGGUGAUGGCCUGCCAAGGCUUUGACGGGUAGCCGGCCUGAGAGGGUGGGCGGUCACACUGGGACUGAGCUACGGCCCAGACUCCUGCGGGAGGCAGCAGUGGGGGGUAUUGCACAAUGGGCGGAAGCCUGAUGCAGCGACGUCGCGUGAGGGAUGGAGGCCUUCGGGUUGUGAACCUCUUUCGCCGGUGAAGAAGGUCCUGCUCUUUGGGGUGGGGUUGACGGUAGCCGGGUUAUGAAGCGCCGGCUAACUACGUG